GUGGGGAAUAUUGGGCAAUGGGGGGAACCCUGACCCAGCGACGCCGCGUGAGUGAUGAAGGCCUUAGGGUCGUAAAGCUCUGUUGAAUGGGAAGAAAAAAAUGACGGUACCAUUCGAGGAAGGACCGGCUAACUUCGUGCCAGCAGCCGCGGUAAUACGAGGGGUCCUAGCGUUGUUCGGAAUCAUUGGGCGUAAAGGGUGUGUAGGUGGCCAUGUAAGUCAGGUGUGAAAGCCCCGGGCUCAACCCGGGAAGUGCACUUGAUACUGCGUGGCUUGAGUACCGAAGAGGGUAGUGGAAUUCCAGGUGUAGUGGUGAAAUACGUAGAUAUCUGGAGGAACACCGGUGGCGAAGGCGGCUACCUGGUCGAGUACUGACACUGAGACACGAAAGCAUGGGGAUCAAACAGGAUUAGAUACCCUAGUAGUCC
This 428-nucleotide ribosomal RNA is filed under the name uncultured bacterium. Its description in RNAcentral is "partial 16S ribosomal RNA". It matches the Rfam family "Bacterial small subunit ribosomal RNA", at positions 354 to 796 of the family's 1533-position model. The record is from RNAcentral.